GAUGAAGAACGUAGCGAAAUGCGAUAAGUAAUGUGAAUUGCAGAAUUCAGUGAAUCAUCGAAUCUUUGAACGCACAUUGCGCCCCUUGGUAUUCCGGGGGGCAUGCCUGUUCGAGCGUCAUUAUAACCCCUCAAGCUCAGCUUGGUGUUGGGGCCUGCCGACUGGCAGCCCUUAAAAUCAGUGGCGGCGCCAUCUGGCUCUAAGCGUAGUAAUUUCACUCGCUAUAGAGUCCCGGUGGAUGCUUGCCAGCAACCCCCAACUUUCUAUGGUUGACCUCGGAUCAGGUAGGGAUACCCGCUGAACUUAAGCAUAUCAAUAAGCGGAGGA
Molecule: unclassified non-coding RNA, 327 nt
Filed under: soil metagenome
Description: partial contains 5.8S ribosomal RNA, internal transcribed spacer 2, and large subunit ribosomal RNA
Rfam family: 5.8S ribosomal RNA (bases 1-120)
Source: RNAcentral